RNAcentral lists this ribosomal RNA (208 nucleotides) under uncultured bacterium. Its description in RNAcentral is "partial 16S ribosomal RNA". It matches the Rfam family "Bacterial small subunit ribosomal RNA", at positions 524 to 726 of the family's 1533-position model. The record is from RNAcentral.
UACGGGGGGGAGCAAGCGUUGUUCGGAUUUACUGGGGCGUAAAGGGCGCGUAGGCGGUCGUGAACAAGUCACUUGUGAAAUCUCCGGGGCUUAACUCGGAACGGUCAAGUGAUACUGUCGGACUAGAGUACAGAAGGGGCAACUGGAAUUCUCGGUGUAGCGGUGAAAUGCGUAGAUAUCGAGAGGAACACCUGCGGCGAAGGCGGGU